CUUGGGUUCCUCCUUCUUCUCGUUUGCCUUUUUCUGCUUCUGCUGCAUGAUCUCCGAGUCCCUGGGGGUAGAGAUGAUGGGGCACU
This is a microRNA precursor of Piliocolobus tephrosceles (Ugandan red Colobus), 86 nucleotides long. Lineage: Eukaryota; Metazoa; Chordata; Mammalia; Primates; Cercopithecidae. The record is from Ensembl.